CAGCCUGAGGCCUACGUCAAAGGUUCCCCAGAGCUUGUGGCCAGCCUCUGCAGCCCCGAGACAGUGCCCAGAGACUUUCCUCAGGUACUGCAGAGCUACACAGCUGCUGGCUACCGAGUUGUGGCCCUGGCUGGCAAGCCACUGCCCACUGCGCCCAGCCUUGAGGCCGCUCAGCAGCUGACAAGGGACACUGUGGAGCAGGAGCUGAGCCUCCUGGGGCUGCUGGUCAUGCGGAACCUGCUGAAGCCACAGACGACCCCAGUUAUACAGACCCUGAGGAAGACGGGCAUCCGUACUGUUAUGGUGACAGGUAUUACAGCCUGGGUCUCUGUGAGGAGGGCACACCUGCCCUGUCCUGGCGAAAGGGUGGCUUCCCAGCAUCCCCUGCUGCAGCAUCUUUGUGAAGCCAGACCCUUCCCCAUCUUUCCAUCACAUGUGUCACUGUCACCUACAUCUGACAUGAGCUCGGAGCUCUGGGGCUCAGAGUGGCAUGAGUCCCUAAGAGUGAGGGGACAACCUGCAGACAGCAGUCACGGUGGCCAAAGCGUGUGGCAUGGUGGGCACCCAGGAGCACCUGGCUAUCAUCCAUGCCACCCACCCUGAGCAGGGCCAGCCUGCUGCCCUUGAGUUCCUGCCAACUGAGCCCUCUGCGGCCAUGAAUGGGGCAAAGGAUCCUGUGCAGGCCACGGACUACCCCGUGGAGCCGGAGUCCCAGUCCCGUCACCUGGCC
RNAcentral lists this long non-coding RNA (730 nucleotides) under Rattus norvegicus (Norway rat). RNAcentral's name for it is "long non-coding RNA NONRATT022815". The record is from RNAcentral. Lineage: Eukaryota; Metazoa; Chordata; Mammalia; Rodentia; Muridae.